CGCCUUUGCAGAGGCCGGAAGGGCAAAGGUAAACAGAGGCAGACGCCUGCAGAUGGCCAGGAGCAGGGGGGCAAGCUGCAAAAGCCCACGCCAGUGGAAAACAAGGUUUUGUUUACUGGCACAGCUUCACCAAAGGCUAAAGGCAAGUCUGAUGGCCAGGAGCAGGGGGGCAAGCUGCAAAGCCCACGCCAGUGGAAAACAAGGUUUUGUUUGCCGGCACAGCUUCACCAAAGGCUAAAGGCAAGUCUGAUGGCCAGGAGCAGGGGGGCAAGCUGCAAAAGCCCACGCUGGUGGAAAACAAGGUUUUGCUUGCUGCAAAGGCUGCUCCAAAAGCCAAGGCCAGGUUUGUUGUUGAUUCAGGCUGUACCCGCCAUGUCUCAAAGGACCGCCACC
This is a non-coding RNA of Podarcis lilfordi (Lilford's wall lizard), 393 nucleotides long. The record is from the annotation of a GenBank genome assembly. Lineage: Eukaryota; Metazoa; Chordata; Lepidosauria; Squamata; Lacertidae.